GGGGGCAUAGCUCAGUUGGGAGAGCACCUGCUUUGCAAGCAGGAGGUCAGCGGUUCGAACCCGCUUGCCUCCACCA
RNAcentral lists this transfer RNA (76 nucleotides) under Acidobacteriota bacterium. RNAcentral describes it as "tRNA-Ala". It matches the Rfam family "tRNA". Rfam says of the family: Transfer RNA (tRNA) molecules are approximately 80 nucleotides in length. Their secondary structure includes four short double-helical elements and three loops (D, anti-codon, and T loops). Lineage: Bacteria; Pseudomonadati; Acidobacteriota. The record is from RNAcentral.